This 440-nucleotide ribosomal RNA is filed under the name uncultured bacterium. RNAcentral's name for it is "partial 16S ribosomal RNA". It matches the Rfam family "Bacterial small subunit ribosomal RNA", at positions 338 to 795 of the family's 1533-position model. The record is from RNAcentral.
CCUACGGGAGGCAGCAGUGGGGAAUAUUGCACAAUGGGGGAAACCCUGAUGCAGCGACGCCGCGUGAGUGAAGAAGUAAUUCGUUAUGUAAAGCUCUAUCAGCCGGGAAGAAAAUGACGGUACCUGAGUAAGACGCCCCUGCUAAGUAGGUGACAGCAGCCGCGGUAAUACGUAGGGGGCAAGCGUUAUCCGGAUUUACGGGGUGUAACGGGAGCGUAGACGGGAGGGCAGGUCUGGAGGGAAAGGCGAGGGCUCAACCCCCGGACUGCUAUGGAAACUGUACGGCUGGAGUGCAGGAGAGGUAAGUGGAAUUCCUGGUGUAGCGGUGAAAUGCGUAGAUAUUAGGAGGAACACCAGUGGCGAAGGCGGCUUACUGGACUGUAACUGACGUUGAGGCUCGAAAGCGUGGGUAGCAAACAGGAUUAGAUACCCGUGUAGUC